Molecule: small RNA, 61 nt
Filed under: Pongo abelii (Sumatran orangutan)
Lineage: Eukaryota; Metazoa; Chordata; Mammalia; Primates; Hominidae
Description: retained intron
Source: RNAcentral
GAAAAGAAAACUCAGUAGAAGAUAAUGGCAAGUCCAGACUGGGGAUAUGAUGACAAAAAUG